CGGACAGUGGCGCAACCGGCAGACGCCCUCGGCUUAAACCCGACGAGCCCAAAUCGGGAUGCGAGUUCGAAUCUCGCCUGUCCGACCA
RNAcentral lists this transfer RNA (88 nucleotides) under Gallionellaceae bacterium. Its description in RNAcentral is "tRNA-Leu". It matches the Rfam family "tRNA". From Rfam's summary of the family: Transfer RNA (tRNA) molecules are approximately 80 nucleotides in length. Their secondary structure includes four short double-helical elements and three loops (D, anti-codon, and T loops). Further hydrogen bonds mediate the characteristic L-shaped molecular structure. tRNAs have two regions of fundamental functional importance: the anti-codon, which is responsible for specific mRNA codon recognition, and the 3' end, to which the tRNAs corresponding amino acid is attached (by aminoacyl-tRNA synthetases). tRNAs cope with the degeneracy of the genetic code in two manners: having more than one tRNA (with a specific anti-codon) for a particular amino acid; and 'wobble' base-pairing, i.e. permitting non-standard base-pairing at the 3rd anti-codon position. The record is from RNAcentral. Lineage: Bacteria; Pseudomonadati; Pseudomonadota; Betaproteobacteria; Nitrosomonadales; Gallionellaceae.